GAUGAACGCUGGCGGCGUGCCUAAUACAUGCAAGUCGAGCGAACGGACGAGAAGCUUGCUCUUCUGAUGUUAGCGGCGGACGGGUGAGUAACACGUGGAUAACCUACCUAUAAGACUGGGAUAACUUCGGGAAACCGGAGCUAAUAUCGGAUAAUAUUUUGAACCGCAUGGUUCAAAAGUGAAAGACGGUCUUGCUGUCACUUAUAGAUGGAUCCGCGCUGCAUUAGCUAGUUGGUAAGGUAACGGCUUACCAAGGCAACGAUGCAUAGCCGACCUGAGAGGGUGAUCGGCCACACUGGAACUGAGACACGGUCCAGACUCCUACGGGAGGCAGCAGUAGGGAAUCUUCCGCAAUGGGCGAAAGCCUGACGGAGCAACGCCGCGUGAGUGAUGAAGGUCUUCGGAUCGUAAAACUCUGUUAUUAGGGAAGAACAUAUGUGUAAGUAACUGUGCACAUCUUGACGGUACCUAAUCAGAAAGCCACGGCUAACUACGUG
Molecule: ribosomal RNA, 497 nt
Filed under: uncultured bacterium
Lineage: Bacteria
Description: partial 16S ribosomal RNA
Rfam family: Bacterial small subunit ribosomal RNA
Source: RNAcentral